This 274-nucleotide ribosomal RNA is filed under the name uncultured bacterium. RNAcentral describes it as "partial 16S ribosomal RNA". It matches the Rfam family "Bacterial small subunit ribosomal RNA", at positions 523 to 796 of the family's 1533-position model. The record is from RNAcentral.
AUACGAGGGGUGCAAGCGUUAAUCGGAAUUACUGGGCGUAAAGCGUUCGUAGGCGGUUUGUUAAGCAAGAUGUGAAAGCCCUGGGCUCAACCUGGGAACUGCAUUUUGAACUGGCAAGCUAGAAUACUGUAGAGGGUGGUGGAAUUUCCAGUGUAGCGGUGAAAUGCGUAGAGAUUGGAAGGAACAUCAGUGGCGAAGGCGGCCACCUGGACAGAUAUUGACGCUGAGGAACGAAAGCGCGGGGAGCGAACAGGAUUAGAAACCCCAGUAGUCC